GAUGAACGCUGGCGGCGUGCCUAAUACAUGCAAGUCGAGCGAACGGACGAGAAGCUUGCUUCUCUGAUGUUAGCGGCGGACGGGUGAGUAACACGUGGAUAACCUCCCUAUAAGACUGGGAUAACUUCGGGAAACCGGAGCUAAUACCGGAUAAUAUUUUGAACCGCAUGGUUCAAUAGUGAAAGACGGUCUUGCUGUCACUUAUAGAUGGAUCCGCGCUGCAUUAGCUAGUUGGUAAGGUAACGGCUUACCAAGGCAACGAUGCAUAGCCGAGCUGAGAGAGUGAUAGGCCACACUAGAGCUGGGACACGGUCCAGACUCCUGCGGGAGGCAGCAGUAGGGAAUCUUCGGCAAUGGGCGAAAGCCUGACGGAGCAACGCCGCGUGUGUGAUGAAGGUCUCCGGAUCGUAAAACUCGGUUAUGAGGGAAGAACAUAUGUGUAAGGAACUGUGCACAGCUUGACGGUACCUAAUCAGAAAGCCACGGCUAACUACGUG
RNAcentral lists this ribosomal RNA (497 nucleotides) under uncultured bacterium. Its description in RNAcentral is "partial 16S ribosomal RNA". It matches the Rfam family "Bacterial small subunit ribosomal RNA", at positions 28 to 507 of the family's 1533-position model. The record is from RNAcentral.